Molecule: small RNA, 29 nt
Filed under: Bombyx mori (domestic silkworm)
Lineage: Eukaryota; Metazoa; Arthropoda; Insecta; Lepidoptera; Bombycidae
Description: ovarian small RNA-23454
Source: RNAcentral
UAUAUUGCUUGCUUGAUUUACAGAUAAAU